This 1361-nucleotide ribosomal RNA is filed under the name Salmonella enterica subsp. enterica serovar Veneziana. RNAcentral describes it as "partial 23S ribosomal RNA". It matches the Rfam family "Bacterial large subunit ribosomal RNA", at positions 105 to 1405 of the family's 2925-position model. Lineage: Bacteria; Pseudomonadati; Pseudomonadota; Gammaproteobacteria; Enterobacterales; Enterobacteriaceae. The record is from RNAcentral.
CGGCGAUUUCCGAAUGGGGAAACCCAGUGUGAUUCGUCACACUAUCAUUAACUGAAUCCAUAGGUUAAUGAGGCGAACCGGGGGAACUGAAACAUCUAAGUACCCCGAGGAAAAGAAAUCAACCGAGAUUCCCCCAGUAGCGGCGAGCGAACGGGGAGGAGCCCAGAGCCUGAAUCAGCAUGUGUGUUAGUGGAAGCGUCUGGAAAGGCGCGCGAUACAGGGUGACAGCCCCGUACACAAAAGCGCAUGUGCUGUGAGCUCGAUGAGUAGGGCGGGACACGUGGUAUCCUGUCUGAAUAUGGGGGGACCAUCCUCCAAGGCUAAAUACUCCUGACUGACCGAUAGUGAACCAGUACCGUGAGGGAAAGGCGAAAAGAACCCCGGCGAGGGGAGUGAAAAAGAACCUGAAACCGUGUACGUACAAGCAGUGGGAGCCCCACCACUAAGCCAGUGGUGAACUCCACAUACGCAUCCUUUGCUGAGGAUACGGUUAACGGAGCGAAAGCGACGUUCAACCUCAAAAGAAGCAGAGGGGGCUUAGUGGUGGGGUGACUGCGUACCUUUUGUAUAAUGGGUCAGCGACUUAUAUUCUGUAGCAAGGUUAACCGUAUAGGGGAGCCGGAGGGAAACCGAGUCUUAAUUGGGCGUUAAGUUGCAGGGUAUAGACCCGAAACCCGGUGAUCUAGCCAUGGGCAGGUUGAAGGUUGGGUAACACUAACUGGAGGACCGAACCGACUAAUGUUGAAAAAUUAGCGGAUGACCUGUGGCUGGGGGUGAAAGGCCAAUCAAACCGGGAGAUAGCUGGUUCUCCCCGAAAGCUAUUUAGGUAGCGCCUCGUGAAUUCAUCUCCGGGGGUAGAGCACUGUUUCGGCUAGGGGGCCAUCCCGGCUUACCAACCCGAUGCAAACUGCGAAUACCGGAGAAUGUUAUCACGGGAGACACACGGCGGGUGCUAACGUCCGUCGUGAAGAGGGAAACAACCCAGACCGCCAGCUAAGGUCCCAAAGUCAUGGUUAAGUGGGAAACGAUGUGGGAAGGCCCAGACAGCCAGGAUGUUGGCUUAGAAGCAGCCAUCAUUUAAAGAAAGCGUAAUAGCUCACUGGUCGAGUCGGCCUGCGCGGAAGAUGUAACGGGGCUAAACCAUGCACCGAAGCUGCGGCAGCGACGCUGAUGCGUUGUUGGGUAGGGGAGCGUUCUGUAAGCCUGUGAAGGUGUGCUGUGAGGCAUGCUGGAGGUAUCAGAAGUGCGAAUGCUGACAUAAGUAACGAUAAAGCGGGUGAAAAGCCCGCUCGCCGGAAGACCAAGGGUUCCUGUCCAACGUUAAUCGGGGCAGGGUGAGUCGACCCCUAAGGCGAGGCCGA